UUACCAAGGCAACGAUGCAUAGCCGACCUGAGAGGGUGAUCGGCCACACUGGAACUGAGACACGGUCCAGACUCCUACGGGAGGCAGCAGUAGGGAAUCUUCCGCAAUGGGCGAAAGCCUGACGGAGCAACGCCGCGUGAGUGAUGAAGGUCUUCGGAUCGUAAAACUCUGUUAUUAGGGAAGAACAUAUGUGUAAGUAACUGUGCACAUCUUGACGGUACCUAAUCAGAAAGCCACGGCUAACUACGUGCCAGCAGCCGCGGUAAUACGUAGGUGGCAAGCGUUAUCCGGAAUUAUUGGGCGUAAAGCGCGCGUAGGCGGUUUUUUAAGUCUGAUGUGAAAGCCCACGGCUCAACCGUGGAGGGUCAUUGGAAACUGGAAAACUUGAGUGCAGAAGAGGAAAGUGGAAUUCCAUGUGUAGCGGUGAAAUGCGCAGAGAUAUGGAGGAACACCAGUGGCGAAGGCGACUUUCUGGUCUGUAACUGACGCUGAUGUGCGAAAGCGUGGGGAUCAAACAGGAUUAGAUACCCUGGUAGUCCACGCCGUAAACGAUGAGUGCUAAGUGUUAGGGGGUUUCCGCCCCUUAGUGCUGCAGCUAACGCAUUAAGCACUCCGCCUGGGGAGUACGACCGCAAGGUUGAAACUCAAAGGAAUUGACGGU
RNAcentral lists this ribosomal RNA (661 nucleotides) under uncultured bacterium. RNAcentral's name for it is "bacterial SSU rRNA". It matches the Rfam family "Bacterial small subunit ribosomal RNA", at positions 265 to 917 of the family's 1533-position model. The record is from RNAcentral.